CGGGUGGAUCACGAUGCAAUUUUGAUUAGUUUAGCAGGAGAAAAAUUGCACGGUAUCCAUCUGUA
This 65-nucleotide microRNA precursor is filed under the name Chrysemys picta bellii (western painted turtle). RNAcentral describes it as "Cpi-Mir-92-P2c_pre stem-loop". It matches the Rfam family "mir-363 microRNA precursor family", at positions 9 to 73 of the family's 80-position model. The record is from RNAcentral. Lineage: Eukaryota; Metazoa; Chordata; Testudines; Emydidae.